RNAcentral lists this unclassified non-coding RNA (950 nucleotides) under Hevea brasiliensis (rubber tree). Lineage: Eukaryota; Viridiplantae; Streptophyta; Magnoliopsida; Malpighiales; Euphorbiaceae. The record is from RNAcentral.
GUUGAGUUGAGUUGAGUAUAGUAUAGUGAACGCUGCCUAUGUUCUAAAGUUGGUUCCUCAUCCAUGAUUGUAUUUUGGAUUUUACAUCAGCAGCUAGAGUUUCACUUUAUGGCCUUGGUUAUUCACAUAUCAUGGGCUUUGAUCUGGGGAUGAGAUUGAAGUCUCAUGUCACUCAUCCCUAAUCCAGAUAAUUGUCCAUGUUGCAACUUUCAAUUUGCAACCAAACAGAAGAAAUUUAUUUUCUUAAAUUUUUUCCUCGAAAAUAUGUUUCAUUGUCAAAUUUCUGUGAAACAAAUGGAACCUUAGAUUCCCCAGAUUUGGAGUAUAAUUUGCAGAUAUGUAAUAGAAAAAGGGAGGAGUGGCACUUUGAAUUAGUGGGCAUCUUCUGUCAAUGAUAGUCACCAAUAUUAUUGGUCUUAGGUAGUUGUUUUUGCUUGCUUUGGUAAAUGCUGCCAGCCUCUUGCGAUUGUGAUUCAAUUGAUUGUUUCUAUUUCUAUGUUAUUCUUUUCUUCUCCCCCCAUCUUUAGUUUCUCCUUCAACAUUAUGGAGAUCUCCUGUUUUCAGUAAAACCCUGCAUGAGAGAUGGGAUGGUGUCCACCAUAUGACAUCCUAUCCAAUCCUAUCUUAUGUGGCAGUUCAUACCCCACAUGCUCCUGCACAUCCAAGACGCUUUUUAUGGAAAAGCAUAAAUAGAAAAAUAUAUCAUCAAAAUGUUAGUGUAUCCAGUGUCAGAUAAAAAAUUAGCAUGGCAAGGUAGGAAAACAAAUGUAUAAGUUUUCUGCAACAGUUUUUUGUUUCAUCCUAUAUAGGAGAAGUGCCAAAAUGUGUUCUUUUUUCCAGGAUAAUUAUAAAAAAUGAUUUUGGUUCUCUUGCAAUUUUUGCUUUCCACUUACUUUUGCUGUUUUAACCUGAUGGCAUCUGGAUACAGUAUACACCAGCAAUUGAUAUAU